Molecule: non-coding RNA, 1739 nt
Organism: Oryctolagus cuniculus (rabbit)
Lineage: Eukaryota; Metazoa; Chordata; Mammalia; Lagomorpha; Leporidae
Source: RefSeq, a predicted model, not a curated record
UUCCCCGCCCACAGAGUGACGCACUUCCUGUGUUCCCGCUCGCGCCGCCUCCUUGGUGUUCCGGUAUCCGUGCGGGAUGGCCCAGAGGACUCAAAGGAAAAGCUGGUCACGGAUCAGAGAAGCUUGGGAGACCAGGCCAGCAAGCGGUGGACGAAGAUCUAGGCAGGAUGUGAUCUGUCCUUAAUUCUCUGUCGUCCUUCUGAAGAUUUGCUCUGUAAAGAGGAAGAAAGAGAGAGCACAAGCUCACAGCUUAUUGGCCCACUCAGGUUAUAUGUCCCACCCUGGUCAGAGCCACAAAGUUAACAAGAAACAAGCGAAGCGUAGCUCGGGCCCACCUGCGCUCAGCACCGCACAAGCCGAGUCCCAGGCACAAGACAGUGAACAACGCGCCAAAACUGAGUUAGCCGGGAAGGUGAGGCAAGAUGCUGAACUGCCCAUGGGACGGAGCACAGACCAGGGGACCCAGCAGUGUCGCCCACCUGUGACCUUCUCGGGCAGCUGGCUCUCGUGCUAAUAGUGGCUCAUUCGGAAACCUGGAACUUCUGGUCAUGAUUGACUUAAGAGAACCGCGGUCUACAGCCUCAGGUAGGAAGGACAUACGCCCACCCGCAUCUUCCCCAAAAAUACCUGGAGUCUAUUGGCCAGGAAGGCUGUGUGAGUGGGAGGUGAGUACCACGGGCACCCCAGCAGUUCAAGCUACAGUGACUGCAUCACAGGCUAGCCCCUUGCUUGGCGGCCUUGAUUUUGCCCAUGAAUCUGCAAUCUGGCAGAUUGUUCCUGCUGCACAUGGCAUCUGGUUAAAGCGAUAGCCAUGUUUGUUUUGCUUAAGACUUUGCAGUUUGUUCACAGUUCAGCAGAUUCAAUUCUGCCUUCCUUGGUGUGAGCUGGGGUAACUCCAGAUCUGGGAGCUGGCAUCAGCCGAAGGCCACUUGCUCUCAUCACCAGGCCUGGGCUGGCAGGAACCAAACAACUGGAACUGCCCGGGCUUCUUGCUCCAUCUCUAUGGGGUCUCUCCAGGGUGCUCUCUCCAGCAUGGGGGCUUCAGGGUAGCUGGACUCUUCCUAUGGUAACUCAGGGAUCCUAAGGCAUGAGUAUUAUCGGUCAGGGCCAAUGCACCAGAGACAAGAGUUGAUGAAGGGAGCAGGUUUAUUCCAGAAACCAGAAUCCUUGGGGAACGAGCAGACUCUUGAGUCCCCAAAGUGCCUUUUCCAGUUUGCAAGUUGUCCAGAGGCUUUUUUUUUUUCAAUUUGACAGAGUUAGACAGUGAGAGAGAGAGAGAGAGAAAGGUCUUCCUUCCGUUGGUUCACCCCCCAAACGGCCACUAUGGCCGGAGCUACGCCAAUCCAAAGCCAGGAGCCAGGUGCUUCUUCCUGGUCCAUCACACGGGUGCAGGUGCCCAAGCACUUGGGCCAUCCUCCAUUGCCCUCCCAGGCCACAGCAGAGAGUUGGACUGGAAGAGGAGCAACCGGUGCCCCAACUGGGACUAGAACCUGGAGUGCCGGUGCGAGGCGCAGCCUAUCCAGUGGCUUUUUUUUUUUUUUUUUUGACAGGCAGAGUUAGACAGUGAGAGAGACAGAGACAGAAAGGUCUUCCUUCCGUUGGUUCACCCCCCAAAUGGCCACUAUGGCCAGCGCUACGCCAAUCCAAAGCCAGGAGCCAGGUGCUUCUUCCUGGUCCGUCACGCAGGUGCAGGUGCCCAAGCACUUGGGCCAUCCUUCACUGCCCUCCCAGGCCACAGC